This 497-nucleotide ribosomal RNA is filed under the name uncultured bacterium. Its description in RNAcentral is "partial 16S ribosomal RNA". It matches the Rfam family "Bacterial small subunit ribosomal RNA", at positions 28 to 507 of the family's 1533-position model. The record is from RNAcentral.
GAUGAACGCUGGCGGCGUGCCUAAUACAUGCCAGUCGAGCGAACAGACGAGGAGCUUGCUCCUCUGACGUUAGCGGCGGACGGGUGAGUAACACGUGGAUAACCUACCUAUAAGACUGGGAUAACUUCGGGAAACCGGAGCUAAUACCGGAUAAUAUAUUGAACCGCAUGGUUCAAUAGUGAAAGACGGUUUUGCUGUCACUUAUAGAUGGAUCCGCGCCGCAUUAGCUAGUUGGUAAGGUAACGGCUUACCAAGGCAACGAUGCGUAGCCGACCUGAGAGGGCGAUCGGCCACACUGGAACUGAGACACGGUCCAGACUCCUACGGGAGGCAGCAGUAGGGAAUCUUCCGCAAUGGGCGAAAGCCUGACGGAGCAACGCCGCGUGAGUGAUGAAGGUCUUCGGAUCGUAAAACUCUGUUAUUAGGGAAGAACAAAUGUGUAAGUAACUAUGCACGUCUUGACGGUACCUAAUCAGAAAGCCACGGCUAACUACGUG